Molecule: ribosomal RNA, 266 nt
Filed under: uncultured Staphylococcus sp.
Lineage: Bacteria; Bacillati; Bacillota; Bacilli; Caryophanales; Staphylococcaceae
Description: partial 16S ribosomal RNA
Rfam family: Bacterial small subunit ribosomal RNA
Source: RNAcentral
CGGCGGACGGGUGAGUAACACGUGGAUAACCUACCUAUAAGACUGGGAUAACUUCGGGAAACCGGAGCUAAUACCGGAUAAUAUAUUGAACCGCAUGGUUCAAUAGUGAAAGACGGUUUUGCUGUCACUUAUAGAUGGAUCCGCGCCGCAUUAGCUAGUUUGUAAGGUAACGGCUUACCAAGGCAACGAUGCGUAGCCGACCUGAGAGGGUGAUCGGCCACACUGGAACUGAGACACGGUCCAGACUCCUACGGGAGGCAGCAGCG